Molecule: ribosomal RNA, 253 nt
Filed under: uncultured bacterium
Lineage: Bacteria
Description: partial 16S ribosomal RNA
Rfam family: Bacterial small subunit ribosomal RNA
Source: RNAcentral
UACAGAGGUGGCAAGCGUUGUUCGGAAUUACUGGGCGUAAAGGGCGCGUAGGCGGUCCGAUAAGUCCUGUGUGAAAUCCCUCGGCUCAACUGAGGAACUGCACGGGAGACUGUCGGGCUUGAGUUCGGGAGAGGGAAGCGGAAUUCCGGGUGUAGCGGUGAAAUGCGUAGAUAUCCGGAGGAACACCGGUGGCGAAGGCGGCUUGCUGGGCUGUAACUGACGCUGAGGAACGAAAGCUAGGGGAGCGAAUGGG